AAAACGGCCCUUUUCAGGGCCACUGAUUGAAUUGCAGUAAAAAGAA
Molecule: non-coding RNA, 46 nt
Organism: Anopheles gambiae str. PEST
Lineage: Eukaryota; Metazoa; Arthropoda; Insecta; Diptera; Culicidae
Source: Rfam